RNAcentral lists this ribosomal RNA (305 nucleotides) under uncultured bacterium. Its description in RNAcentral is "partial 16S ribosomal RNA". It matches the Rfam family "Bacterial small subunit ribosomal RNA", at positions 333 to 656 of the family's 1533-position model. The record is from RNAcentral.
CAACCUACGGGAGGCAGCAGUGGGGGAUAUUGCACAAUGGGGGGAACCCUGAUGCAGCGACGCCGCGUGGGUGAAGAAGUAUUUCGGUAUGUAAAGCCCUAUCGGCAGGGAAGAAUUUAGACGGUACCUGACUAAGAAGCCCUGGCUAACUACGUGCCAGCAGCCGCGGUAAUACGUAGGGGGCAAGCGUUAUCCGGAUUCACUGGGUGUAAAGGGAGCGUAGACGGCCAUGCAAGCCUGGAGUGAAAGCCCGGGGCCCAACCCCGGGACUGCUCUGGGGAAGGUGCGGCUGGGGGGCGGGGGGG